RNAcentral lists this ribosomal RNA (534 nucleotides) under uncultured bacterium. RNAcentral describes it as "bacterial SSU rRNA". It matches the Rfam family "Bacterial small subunit ribosomal RNA", at positions 974 to 1509 of the family's 1533-position model. The record is from RNAcentral.
CCUGGCCUUGACAUACUAAGAACUUUCCAGAGAUGGAUUGGUGCCUUCGGGAACUUAGAUACAGGUGCUGCAUGGCUGUCGUCAGCUCGUGUCGUGAGAUGUUGGGUUAAGUCCCGCAACGAGCGCAACCCUUUCCUAUUUGCCAGCGGGUUAAGCCGGGAACUUUAAGGAUACUGCCAGUGACAAACUGGAGGAAGGCGGGGACGACGUCAAGUCAUCAUGGCCCUUACGGCCAGGGCUACACACGUGCUACAAUGGUCGGUACAAAGGGUUGCUACCUCGCGAGAGGAUGCUAAUCUCAAAAAGCCGAUCGUAGUCCGGAUCGCAGUCUGCAACUCGACUGCGUGAAGUCGGAAUCGCUAGUAAUCGCGGAUCAGAAUGCCGCGGUGAAUACGUUCCCGGGCCUUGUACACACCGCCCGUCACACCAUGGGAGUUUGUUGCACCAGAAGUAGGUAGUCUAACCGCAAGGAGGACGCUUACCACGGUGUGGCCGAUGACUGGGGUGAAGUCGUAACAAGGUAGGCGUAGAUGA